Dermacentor albipictus is the source of this 2306-nucleotide non-coding RNA. The record is from RefSeq and is a predicted model, not a curated record. Lineage: Eukaryota; Metazoa; Arthropoda; Arachnida; Ixodida; Ixodidae.
UUGGCGGCUUUGCCACUGCGCAGGCCACUAAUCCUUUCGUCUUCGUAAUGCAGGUGCUCGGAACAUUCAUCGCGUGCCUUUUCCUACCUGGACUGGCGACUACGCCACUGACCGCACCUUCAUAUUUACCAACCCAUCUCGUCGUGGAUGUAUCAGGCGCCCGUCAACGAGCCACUGCCAUCGCUUCACUCGUCUUUGGAACGAAACACCCGUCCUUGGAUUAUCUGCCCCUCGCAGAAGAAUGGGAAGCCCCAUCGCAUCCAACAUCAUUACUAGAGCCAGCUAUAAAACAGGAGCAGCCACCAGUGGCACUUUGUGGGCUUGGCGGCUUUGCCACUGCGCAGGCCACUAAUCCUUUCGUCUUCGUAAUGCAGGUGCUCGGAACAUUCAUCGCGUGCCUUUUCCUACCUGGACUGGCGACUACGCCACUGACCGCACCUUCAUAUUUACCAACCCAUCUCGUCGUGGAUGUAUCAGGCGCCCGUCAACGAGCCACUGCCAUCGCUUCACUCGUCUUUGGAACGAAACACCCGUCCUUGGAUUAUCUGCCCCUCGCAGAAGAAUGGGAAGCCCCAUCGCAUCCAACAUCAUUACUAGAGCCAGCUAUAAAACAGGAGCAGCCACCAGUGGCACUUUGUGGGCUUGGCGGCUUUGCCACUGCGCAGGCCACUAAUCCUUUCGUCUUCGUAAUGCAGGGACAAGCCUGUGUAAUAUCGGCACAUCAUGCUCUGACUAGGGAUAGACUGGAGAACUCACCUGUGAAUGCUUCGCUUCAGAGAAAUGGAGAAAGGAAGAACAGGCCCAAAAACAAGUCAUCGGUCAAGCCCAGGCCGCCGCCGGAAGCCAACUGAUUCCGGCCGACGUCUAGGGGGGAGGUAGACGGUGAAAAGGGGAGCUGCGCUUCACUCCGAUCACCCAUACUCUCUGACAGUGAACACAAGUUCAUAGGCCAGAGCUUCAUGACAUUAGCUGGGCAGCGUGCAUGGGCGAGCAUCUCAGUGCACACUUCCUGCUACUCAGCGAACAUCGCAGCACCGAUGCCCUAUCAAAAAUCUUCCUCGCGGAAGUGCUUGCUGCAUAGCGGAGUUGAAGCCUAUGGCUGCUUGGCAGUUAUAAGUUUCACGAUCCAAGCUUCAUGCAGCUUCUUGUUCAGUGGGGGUCUGAGAAGUUUCCCAUGGCUGAAAAAGGGAGUGUUUCCUGAAGCUGGACUGGACCUGAUGCACUUUGUUCAAGACAACGAGCUGGGUACCUCACUGUCAACAUUGAGCUGCUGCUGUAGAAGACUCUGCCAAAAGGGGACAACUUUCUAAAAUAUGUUGUCAUCCGCUGUCAAGAAAAAGGGUGGAUAGACAAAGGACUGGUGCUUGACUGGAUAAAGUCUUUGUGGUGUUGGUGGCUCAGAGCACUGCUGGGGCUCCCAUCCCUGCUUGUCCUGGAUGCUUUUCACUGUCGCCUGGCUGACUUGGUGAAGCAACUGCAGUGCGAGUCCAGCACCGAGCUUGUGGUGUAACAUCCCAGUUGCAACCGCUUGAGAUGUGCAUAGAUAAACCAUUAAAAGACUGCAUCAAGUGCUGCUGUAUGGAGUGAAAGAGGUCAGCAGGGAAUGAAGUGACUCCUGCCGGAUGCCUGAAACGAGCCCCUCUAGCGAUGCUCUGCUCAUGGAUCGCUAACACUUGGGUAUGCAUUCCUGAGGAGCUCGUCCGUCGCACAUGCAAGAAAUUUUUGACACUGAACACAGUUGAUAGCACUAAGACAAGUUUCUAUGUGAGGAUAUCUCUGACAAGGGACUCUCACAGAAAAAAAAAGCAUGAUUCAGCUCAUACUAACAUGGGAAACACACAUGCAUGCUUAAUCCUGAGCCAUUUUAAUGCACAUAAUUUCCAUGUACUACACAGUACAUUUGUCCUGGAGAUGUACAUCUCUUCACAUGAAGUGCAGCACAAAUGCACAAAAUGCCAGCAAAUAUACUUGCAAACAACCACGUGACUGUCCAUGCUUGUGCCAUUUACAAUAUAGGUAACAGGACGUUUACAACUAAGAGCAGAUUCCUCUCCAAUCCUCUCCGUUUUCCCGUAAUUGCAUGCUCUGAUUGGCUUGUGGUAAGCUACGCUUUUUUUCCAACGCUAAAAAUCGGCCUCAGACUAAUCAGCACACCGAGGGUUUUCUGUUGUGCGAUAUUGCGUGAAGUAGAUUUUUCGGUCACUAAUGUUGUUGCCAACAAGAAAUUUCUCAGUGUGAACGAGUCAUACAUGUGCACCUGUAUAAUCCCUUGCACACACUUCUUUGAAACCACAAUAAAUAAAAUU